GACGAACGCUGGCGGCGUGCUUAACACAUGCAAGUCGAACGGCAAGGCCCUGCUUUUGUGGGGUGCUCGAGUGGCGAACGGGUGAGUAACACGUGAGUAACCUGCCCUUGACUUUGGGAUAACUUCAGGAAACUGGGGCUAAUAUCGGAUAGGAGCUCCUGCUGCAUGGUGGGGGUUGGAAAGUUUCGGCGUUUGGGGAUGGAUGAGCGGCUUAUCGGCUUGUUGGUGGGGUAGUGGCUUACCGAGGCUUUGACGGGUCGCCGGCCUGAGAGGGUGACCGGCGACAAUGGGACUGAGAGACGGCGCAGACUCCUACGGGAGGCAGCAGUGGGGAAUAUGGCACAAUGGGCGGAAGCCUGAUGCAGCAACGCCGCGUGCGGGAUGACGGCCUGCGGGGUGUAAACAGCUGUCGCCUGUGACGAAGCGGGAGUGACGGUAAUGGGUAAAGAAGCACCGGCUAACUACGUG
Molecule: ribosomal RNA, 468 nt
Filed under: uncultured bacterium
Lineage: Bacteria
Description: partial 16S ribosomal RNA
Rfam family: Bacterial small subunit ribosomal RNA
Source: RNAcentral